Molecule: ribosomal RNA, 253 nt
Filed under: uncultured bacterium
Lineage: Bacteria
Description: partial 16S ribosomal RNA
Rfam family: Bacterial small subunit ribosomal RNA
Source: RNAcentral
GACAGAGGGUGCAAACGUUGUUCGGAAUUACUGGGCGUAAAGCGCGUGUAGGCGGCUUCGCAAGUCGGGUGUGAAAUCCCACGGCUCAACCGUGGAAGUGCAUUCGAAACUGCAAGGCUAGAGUCCUGGAGGGGAAGGUGGAAUGCUUGGUGUAGAGGUGAAAUUCGUAGAUAUCAAGCGGAACACCGGUGGCGAAGGCGACCUUCUGGACAGUGACUGACGCUGAGACGCGAAAGCGUGGGGAGCAAACAGG